RNAcentral lists this unclassified non-coding RNA (310 nucleotides) under Hevea brasiliensis (rubber tree). Lineage: Eukaryota; Viridiplantae; Streptophyta; Magnoliopsida; Malpighiales; Euphorbiaceae. The record is from RNAcentral.
CCCAUAUCCUGUUGCCAGUCUUCCAAUGUCCAAAGCCAGAGCCCCCUUAGCAAAGUAAAUGGAAAGCCAGCCUGCAACACAGAAGGCUGAAGACACUCUCAUUGCCCCUUUCCGACCAAUAAAAUCAGCAAUUGGCCCACUUGUGAUUGCACCAAUCAUUGCACCAAAUGUCAAUAUGGAACCAAACAUUGAAUACUCUGCUAGAGACAGGGAGAGAUCAUCUGUUAUAGCAUCUUGAGUAGGUGAGGAAUAUCCUGCACAGCAUCCAAAUUCAAAAGAACCACACACGGCAACGAAAGUGCUGAGGUAA